This 401-nucleotide long non-coding RNA is filed under the name Mytilus galloprovincialis (Mediterranean mussel). Lineage: Eukaryota; Metazoa; Mollusca; Bivalvia; Mytilida; Mytilidae. The record is from RNAcentral.
GACCCUUUCUACUAUCUACAUUGUCAUAUAUAAUAUCUAUCUUUCUGUCAAGGAAUGGACUCUUAUGAGUGUAUAUAUAGAUGUACUUCAGUGAUACUUCACUACAGCUCGUCUGCUGAAAACCUUCAAGUAUUUACAUGUACAGUUAAAAUGAGAUCUGUAUGCAUGUACAUACUUACUUGUAACACUCGUGGGCCUGGAAGUGUAGGGGGCAAACUUCUUCAGGGAUGAACUUACGAACGGACCUAAUAUAGUAAACUGGGGUAUAUACAUUUAAAGCGGGGAGUUUAUACACAUUUAUACACAAGUUUUAUACCCCACCCCGUCUUGACCUUAUUAUAACAUAUAUAAGCCUAGGUCAAACUAAAAGACUUUUAUACUUACAACAUUCAUAAAAGAAC